This 249-nucleotide ribosomal RNA is filed under the name Blastocystis sp. RNAcentral describes it as "partial small subunit ribosomal RNA". It matches the Rfam family "Eukaryotic small subunit ribosomal RNA", at positions 73 to 344 of the family's 1831-position model. Lineage: Eukaryota; Bigyra; Opalinata; Blastocystidae. The record is from RNAcentral.
AUAGUUACUUUGAACUGCGAAUGGCUCAUUAUAUCAGUUAUAGUUUAUUUGAUGAAGAAUACUAAUUGGAUAACCGUAGUAAUUCUAGAGCUAAUACAUGUAUAAAGUCUUGUAGACUGCAUUUAUUAGAAUGAAAACCAUAGGUUUCGGCCUAUUCGUGAGUAAUAAUAACUAAUCAUAUCGUAUGCUUAUGUAACGAUGUGUCUUUCAAGUUUCUGCCCUAUCAGCUUCGAUGUAGUAUGGUCCAAA